GGUCCCGCCUGCCCAGUGACUCUUUAAACGGCCGCGGUAUCCUAACCGCGCAAAAGUAGCAUAAUCACUUGUCCCUUAAAUCGGGACUGGAAUGAACGGCUAAAUGAGGACUAAACUGUCUCUUACAGGCCAGCCAAUGAAAUUGAUUUUCCAGUACAAAAGCUGGGAUAAACCCACAAGACGAGAAGACCCUGUGGAGCUUACAAACCAAAUUCACCAAGUAUGUCUACCGGUUUUCAGUUGGGGCGACUUCGGAGUACAAAAUAACCUCCAAACAUAAAACUAAUUAAGAACAACAUAUCAAAAUAUACUCAUAAUGACCCAGCAACCUUACGGUUGUCUGAUUAAUGAACCAAGUUACCCCAGGGAUAACAGCGCCAUCCCCUUCUAGAGUCCCUAUCGACAAGGGGGUUUACGACCUCGAUGUUGGAUCAGGACACCCCAAUGGUGCAGCCGCCAUUAACG
RNAcentral lists this ribosomal RNA (465 nucleotides) under Anatololacerta finikensis. Its description in RNAcentral is "partial large subunit ribosomal RNA". It matches the Rfam family "Archaeal large subunit ribosomal RNA", at positions 1943 to 2639 of the family's 2987-position model. Lineage: Eukaryota; Metazoa; Chordata; Lepidosauria; Squamata; Lacertidae. The record is from RNAcentral.